AUGAAAGCAAGAGGAGAGACUAUUUCGGUAGCGCCGAAGGAGCAAGCAGGAGCGAAACUCUCAGGCAAAAAGACUCUUGUUUGACG
Molecule: non-coding RNA, 86 nt
Filed under: Fictibacillus enclensis
Lineage: Bacteria; Bacillati; Bacillota; Bacilli; Caryophanales; Fictibacillaceae
Description: Glycine sequence
Rfam family: Glycine riboswitch aptamer
About the family: This family represents the bacterial glycine riboswitch. Glycine riboswitches usually consist of two metabolite-binding aptamers domains with similar structures in tandem.
Source: Rfam by way of RNAcentral